RNAcentral lists this ribosomal RNA (39 nucleotides) under Garcinia ovalifolia. RNAcentral describes it as "partial 28S ribosomal RNA". The record is from RNAcentral. Lineage: Eukaryota; Viridiplantae; Streptophyta; Magnoliopsida; Malpighiales; Clusiaceae.
AGCGACCCCAGGUCAGGCGAGACUGCCCGCUGAGUUUAA